This 786-nucleotide long non-coding RNA is filed under the name Ornithorhynchus anatinus (platypus). RNAcentral's name for it is "lncRNA (ENSOANG00000046764.1)". Lineage: Eukaryota; Metazoa; Chordata; Mammalia; Monotremata; Ornithorhynchidae. The record is from RNAcentral.
CGAGGGUGGAGACCAAAGUUUAUUGCACGGAAGGAAGCAAUGGUAAACCACUUCUAUAUUUUUACUCAGAAAACCCUAUGAAUACAUCACCGGAACAAUCGCAGAUGGAGAUGGGGCGUUGUGGGAGAGAUGUGUCCAUGGCAUCGCUAUGGGUCGGGGAUGACUCGACGACAUAAGACAAGCAUUUAAGGUAAUUGGCUAAUUCAGCAUUUUAAUGCCUGUGUUUGGUUACUGUCUAACGUUUGAUUGAACUGGUCAGAUUGUUAUGUGGAGGAACUGCACUGGUUUAUGAACUCACGGAGAAUUCGUCUCUUGGAAUCAAUUCCUCAUCACAACUGGAAUCUGCCUUAGUGAGUCAAAACAUCAAGUCAGCUGCACAAUCCUGAGAUUUCAGCCACCUUCAUCAGCAGUAACAGCCAAGGUUUGCAAACCUGUUCAAGUGCCAAGCACAACAAGGAUGUGCCUGGAUAGAAAUAUUCACAUCCUCCGAAGAAGAAAGAUAAAUAAUCUCUCGUCGCCUCUCUGCCUUUGAAUAGUCAGUCGCGUACGAUCCAGCCUGGCGGUUUUAGCUCUUCGAUUUGUUGCACUUGGGUUCAGUACGCACUAUAGGAAAUUAAACCUCUGGGUUAGGAUGUGUCCAUUCCAAUUUCUCUGAAUUUUUUGUUUCAUCCAGCGUGUUUUGCACUGGACAAAGGUCUAUUUGUUCUCGUUCAGGGGAUAAAGUCAUGGAAAGCUCAUUUUGCCUUCGGAUUAUAUUGCUUCCUCCUUUUUCAGUGCUUGUGCGAG